This 306-nucleotide ribosomal RNA is filed under the name Escherichia coli. Its description in RNAcentral is "bacterial SSU rRNA". It matches the Rfam family "Bacterial small subunit ribosomal RNA", at positions 108 to 417 of the family's 1533-position model. The record is from RNAcentral. Lineage: Bacteria; Pseudomonadati; Pseudomonadota; Gammaproteobacteria; Enterobacterales; Enterobacteriaceae.
GAGUAAUGUCUGGGAAACUGCCUGAUGGAGGGGGAUAACUACUGGAAACGGUAGCUAAUACCGCAUAACGUCGCAAGACCAAAGAGGGGGACCUUCGGGCCUCUUGCCAUCGGAUGUGCCCAGAUGGGAUUAGCUAGUAGGUGGGGUAACGGCUCACCUAGGCGACGAUCCCUAGCUGGUCUGAGAGGAUGACCAGCCACACUGGAACUGAGACACGGUCCAGACUCCUACGGGAGGCAGCAGUGGGGAAUAUUGCACAAUGGGCGCAAGCCUGAUGCAGCCAUGCCGCGUGUAUGAAGAAGGCCU